CGGUAGGUUCAUAUCAAGUAGGAUACACCCGUUCCCAUCUGAACACGGAAGUAAAGAUGCUUAGAGCCUGUUUAGUACCA
RNAcentral lists this ribosomal RNA (80 nucleotides) under Entamoeba invadens IP1. The record is from RNAcentral. Lineage: Eukaryota; Evosea; Mastigamoebida; Endamoebidae.